UCCCCGACUCCAGUAUUGGUCCUUCCCCACCAGUGACCUAUAUAAUUGAAAAACCCAAAAUGCUCGGUUUUCUGAUAACCCUAGAGAUCUUAUAGCCCUCCUAGAGAGCACAAUGUUCACCCACCAACCUACCUGGGAUGACUGCCAACAGCUUUUGCGAAUCCUGUUCACCACGGAAGAAAGGGAGAGAAUUCAACUUGAAGCGCGGAAGCUGGUCCCGAGGAAGAUGGUCGACCCACUGUUAACCCUAACCUCAUUAAUGCAGCGUUUCCCCUGACUCGGCCUGAUUGGGACUACAACUCGGCAGAAGCGCAGAUCCAUGGAACAAGGAAAGACCUACAGGACCGGCCAUUACCUGAUGCUGAGGUCACCUGGUUUACUGACGGAAGCAGCUUCGUCCAUCAAGGACAGAGGUAUGCGGUAUGCGGGGGCAGCAGUGACAUCUGAGACUGAAGUGAUAUGGGCAGAGGCUCUGCCCACAGGGACUUCUUCCCAAAGGGCAGAACUAAUUGCAUUGACCCAAGCAUUAAGAAUGGGGCGGGACCGCAAAGUGACUGUAUAUACAGACAGCCGGUAUGCCUUUGCCACGGCCCAUAUACAUGGGGCAAUAUACCGUGAGAGGGGACUACUCACUGCUAAAGGCAAAGACAUCAAAAAUAAAGAUAAAAUUCUGGCCCUAUUGGCCGCUAUUUGGGCCCCUAAAAAACUGGCUAUAGUACAUUGCCCGGGUCACCAAAAAAAAAAUAAAAUAAAAUAAAAUAACUGAUCCAAUCUCUCGAGGAAAUAAAAUCACUGACCAGACUGCACGCCAGGUAGCACAAAACCCCAUUCAAGUACUCCCUGCGCAGCUACCAGACCCAGGGCCCCGAGAUUUACCCCCACAGCCUGAAUACUCAGAAGAUGAUCUUAUCUGGAUGCGCAAGCUCCCCAUGACCCAAGUUACAGAUGGAUGGUGGAGGGACUCCAGAGACCGCCUUAUCCUUCCCGACAAAUUGGGCCACGCAAUCCUGGCAAAAAUACUCCAGAACGCGCACCCACACGCCACAGCCCAAGGCCACCGAAAAAGAGGAACCAUACCAGAAGCCCACUGGGAAGUGGACUUCACCGAGGUAAAGCCCGACAAAUACGGCUAUAAAUACUUACUAGUGUUCGUAGACACUUUUUCAGGAUGGACUGAAGCCUUUCCAACCAAGAAGGAAACGGCGCAGAUAGUAGCCAAAAAGAUCCUAGAAAAAAUCCUGCCCAGGUAUGGUUUUCCAGUCAUGAUAGGGUCAGAUAAUGGACCUGCAUUCGUCUCUAAGGUAAGUCAGGGAUUGGCUUCCGUACUUGGGGCAGAUUAGAAAUUACAUUGUGCCUACCGGCCCCAAAGCUCAGGACAAGUA
This is a long non-coding RNA of Lynx canadensis (Canada lynx), 1382 nucleotides long. RefSeq lists it as uncharacterized. The transcript has 2 exons. Lineage: Eukaryota; Metazoa; Chordata; Mammalia; Carnivora; Felidae. The record is from RefSeq and is a predicted model, not a curated record.